AUAAGCGUUGUCUUUGGUGAGAGAUCUGAGGUACAAGUGACCUGUGGAUACAUCCACCAAAAGAAUUUGAAUGGCAUGACUGGACAAGUACAAACUACAUGAGCCCUCGAUUGGAUGAAUCAUUCACCUGAAUUUUACAAAAGGCUGCAAAAAUCAGCACUUGAAAAGGUCUUUUGUUUUUCCUCAGAAAACAAACCCAAACCCGGAACUAAGUAAGGAGAGAGACAGAGAGAGGGAAAAAAUGAAACCACUACACCCAUG
Long non-coding RNA from Caretta caretta (loggerhead turtle), 261 nucleotides. RefSeq lists it as uncharacterized. NCBI's taxonomy places the organism in Eukaryota, Metazoa, Chordata, Testudines, Cheloniidae. The record is from RefSeq and is a predicted model, not a curated record.